RNAcentral lists this ribosomal RNA (253 nucleotides) under uncultured bacterium. RNAcentral's name for it is "partial 16S ribosomal RNA". It matches the Rfam family "Bacterial small subunit ribosomal RNA", at positions 524 to 776 of the family's 1533-position model. The record is from RNAcentral.
UACGAAGGGGGCUAGCGUUGCUCGGAAUCACUGGGCGUAAAGGGUGCGUAGGCGGGUCUUUAAGUCAGGGGUGAAAUCCUGGAGCUCAACUCCAGAACUGCCUUUGAUACUGAGGAUCUUGAGUUCUGGAGAGGUGAGUGGAACUGCGAGUGUAGAGGUGAAAUUCGUAGAUAUUCGCAAGAACACCAGUGGCGAAGGCGGCUCACUGGCCCGAUACUGACGCUGAGGCACGAAAGCGUGGGGAGCAAACAGG